UGGGGAAUAUUGCACAAUGGGGGAAACCCUGAUGCAGCAACGCCGCGUGAGCGAAGAAGUAUUUCGGUAUGUAAAGCUCUAUCAGCAGGGAAGAAAAUGACGGUACCUGACUAAGAAGCCCCGGCUAACUACGUGCCAGCAGCCGCGGUAAUACGUAGGGGGCAAGCGUUAUCCGGAUUUACUGGGUGUAAAGGGAGCGUAGACGGCGGAGCAAGUCUGAUGUGAAAGCCUGGGGCUCAACCCCGGAACUGCAUUGGAAACUGCCCUGCUUGAGUGCCGGAGAGGUAAGCGGAAUUCCUAGUGUAGCGGUGAAAUGCGUAGAUAUUAGGAGGAACACCAGUGGCGAAGGCGGCUUACUGGACGGUAACUGACGUUGAGGCUCGAAAGCGUGGGGAGCAAACAGG
This 404-nucleotide ribosomal RNA is filed under the name uncultured bacterium. RNAcentral describes it as "bacterial SSU rRNA". It matches the Rfam family "Bacterial small subunit ribosomal RNA", at positions 355 to 776 of the family's 1533-position model. The record is from RNAcentral.